AUGGUCGAGAGGGAAAGAGCCCAGACCGUCGGCUAAGGUCCCUAAGUCUAGGCUAAGUGGGAAAGGAUGUAGGACCACUGAGACAGCCAGGAGGUUGGCUUAGAAGCAGCCACCCUUUAAAGAGUGCGUAACAGCUCACUGGUCAAGCGGUUCUGCGCCGAAAAUGUAACGGGGCUUAAGCCUAGCACCGAAGCCACGGGAUCUCGAUGAUUCGUCGUCGAGAUCGGUAGGGGAGCGUUCUGCACCGCGGUGAAGGCGGACCGUGAGGACCGCUGGAGCGUGCAGAAGUGAGAAUGCCGGCAUGAGUAGCGCAAUCCCGGCGAGAAACCGGGACGCCGUAUACCUAAGGUUUCCGACGGAAGGUUAAUCCGCGUCGGGUUAGUCGGGCCUAAGCCGAGGCCGAAAGGCGUAGGCGAUGGACAACGGGUUAAUAUUCCCGUACCACGUCGAAUCGAUAAAGACGCGAAGGGGGGACGCAGAAGGGUAGGCCAGCCUGUUAUUGGAUUCAGGUGCUAAGCCCGUAGGGCGAUGAUGGGGGUAGGAAAAUCCGCUCCCGGAGUCUGAGGGGUGAUGGCGGUGCCUUUAUGGCCAGAAGUGGCUGAGCCCAUACUGCCAAGAAAAGCCUCUAGCGAGAUUCGCGUGCCCGUACCGCAAACCGACACUGGUAGGUAGGUAGAGCAUACCAAGGCGAUCGGGAGAACCCUCGUUAAGGAACUAGGCAAAUUGACUCCGUAACUUCGGGAGAAGGAGUGCCCUCUGGGGUGAAGGGCCUUGCGCUUGGAGCCCUAGGGGGUCGCAGAGAAACGGCCCUGGCGACUGUUUAACAAAAACACAGGUCUCUGCUAAAGCGAAAGCUGAAGUAUAGGGGCUGACGCCUGCCCAGUGCCGGAAGGUUAAGGGAAAGGGUUAGCGCAAGCGAAGCUCUGAACCGAAGCCCCGGUGAACGGCGGCCGUAACUAUAACGGUCCUAAGGUAGCGAAAUUCCUUGUCGGGUAAGUUCCGACCCGCACGAAAGGCGUAACGACUGGGGCACUGUCUCAACGAGGGACCCGGCGAAAUUGAAGUGUGCGUGAAGAUGCGCACUACCCGCAGCAGGACAAAAAGACCCCGUGGAGCUUUACUGCAGCUUGGCAUUGAGUUACGGCUUAGUCUGUGUAGAAUAGGAGGGAGACUGGGAAGCUGGGGCGCUAGCCUCGGUGGAGUCGCCGUUGAAAUACCUCCCUGAUUAAGUUUUGACCCUAACCCCUGGCCGUUAUCCGGCAGGGGGACAGUGCCUGGUGGGCAGUUUGACUGGGGCGGUCGCCUCCCAAAGGGUAACGGAGGCGCCCAAAGGUCCCCUCAGGCUGAAUGGAAACCAGCCAUAGAGUGUAAAGGCAUAAGGGGGCUUGACUGCGAGACCUACAAGUCGAGCAGAGACGAAAGUCGGGCUUAGUGAUCCCACGGUACCGAGUGGAAGGGCCGUGGCUUAACGGAUAAAAGCUACCCCGGGGAUAACAGGCUAGUCUGGCCCAAGAGUUCACAUCGACGGCCAGGCUCGGCACCUCGAUGUCGGCUCGUCGCAUCCUGGGGCUGGAGUAGGUCCCAAGGGUUGGGCUGUUCGCCCAUUAAAGCGGCACGCGAGCUGGGUUCAGACCGUCGUGAGACAGGUCGGUCUCUAUCCGCUGUGGGCGCAGGUGACUUGAGGGGAGUCGCUCUUAAUACGAGAGGACCAGAGUGAACAGACCGCUGGUGUGCCAGUUGUCCCGCCAGGGGCAUCGCUGGGUAGCUAUGUCUGGAAGGGAUAACCGCUGAAAGCAUCUAAGUGGGAAGCCCACCUCAAGAUGAGGUCACCCACCCCGUUAAGGGGGUAAGACCGCAGGUAGACGACCUGCUUGAUAGGCGGCAUGUGUAAGCCCCGCGAGGGGUUCAGCUAAGCCGUACUAAUGGUCGAGGGCUUAACGGU
Molecule: ribosomal RNA, 1942 nt
Filed under: marine sediment metagenome
Description: bacterial LSU rRNA
Rfam family: Bacterial large subunit ribosomal RNA
Source: RNAcentral